CCGCUCUAGAAUGCCCAUCAUUAGUUGUUCCUCUUUACAGCAAGGUCAACAAGAAAAGCAGGCAAGAUCGAAGUGCAACGCAACAAUGUUUUAAUAUCGAUGAUCUUCGACCAGAUGGUGCAGAAUGUAUUGAUGACGACCCAUUGAACAGCUAUUUAAAAGAGUCAAUAAUCAGCC
Molecule: long non-coding RNA, 177 nt
Organism: Dreissena polymorpha
Lineage: Eukaryota; Metazoa; Mollusca; Bivalvia; Myida; Dreissenidae
Exons: 3
Source: RefSeq, a predicted model, not a curated record